AGAGUUUGAUCCUGGCUCAGAUUGAACGCUAGCGGGAUGCUUUACACAUGCAAGUCGAACGGCAGCACGAGAGAGCUUGCUCUCUUGGUGGCGAGUGGCGGACGGGUGAGUAAUAUAUCGGAACGUGCCCAGUAGCGGGGGAUAACUACUCGAAAGAGUGGCUAAUACCGCAUACGCCCUACGGGGGAAAGGGGGGGAUCGCAAGACCUCUCACUAUUGGAGCGGCCGAUAUCGGAUUAGCUAGUUGGUGGGGUAAAGGCUCACCAAGGCAACGAUCCGUAGCUGGUUUGAGAGGACGACCAGCCACACUGGGACUGAGACACGGCCCAGACUCCUACGGGAGGCAGCAGUGGGGAAUUUUGGACAAUGGGGGAAACCCUGAUCCAGCCAUCCCGCGUGUAUGAUGAAGGCCUUCGGGUUGUAAAGUACUUUUGGCAGAGAAGAAAAGGCAUCCCCUAAUACGGGAUGCUGCUGACGGUAUCUGCAGAAUAAGCACCGGCUAACUACGUGCCAGCAGCCGCGGUAAUACGUAGGGUGCAAGCGUUAAUCGGAAUUACUGGGCGUAAAGCGUGUGUAGGCGGUUCGGAAAGAAAGAUGUGAAAUCCCAGGGCUCAACCUUGGAACUGCAUUUUUAACUGCCGAGCUAGAGUAUGUCAGAGGGGGGUAGAAUUCCACGUGUAGCAGUGAAAUGCGUAGAUAUGUGGAGGAAUACCGAUGGCGAAGGCAGCCCCCUGGGAUAAUACUGACGCUCAGACACGAAAGCGUGGGGGAGCAAACAGGAUUAGAUACCCUGGUAGUCCACGCCCUAAACGAUGUCAACUAGCUGUUGGGGCCGUUAGGCCUUAGUAGCGCAGCUAACGCGUGAAGUUGACCGCCUGGGGGGUACGGUCGCAAGAUUAAAACUCAAAGGAAUUGACGGGGACCCGCACAAGCGGUGGAUGAUGUGGAUUAAUUCGAUGCAACGCGAAAAACCUUACCUACCCUUGACAUGUCUGGAAUGCCGAAGAGAUUUGGCAGUGCUCGCAAGAGAACCGGAACACAGGUGCUGCAUGGCUGUCGUCAGCUCGUGUCGUGAGAUGUUGGGUUAAGUCCCGCAACGAGCGCAACCCUUGUCAUUAGUUGCUACGCAAGAGCACUCUAAUGAGACUGCCGGUGACAAACCGGAGGAAGGUGGGGAUGACGUCAAGUCCUCAUGGCCCUUAUGGGUAGGGCUUCACACGUCAUACAAUGGUCGGGACAGAGGGUCGCCAACCCGCGAGGGGGAGCCAAUCUCAGAAACCCGAUCGUAGUCCGGAUCGCAGUCUGCAACUCGACUGCGUGAAGUCGGAAUCGCUAGUAAUCGCGGAUCAGAAUGUCGCGGUGAAUACGUUCCCGGGUCGUGCACUCACCGCCCGUCA
Molecule: ribosomal RNA, 1397 nt
Filed under: uncultured bacterium
Lineage: Bacteria
Description: 16S ribosomal RNA
Rfam family: Bacterial small subunit ribosomal RNA
Source: RNAcentral